This 252-nucleotide ribosomal RNA is filed under the name uncultured bacterium. RNAcentral describes it as "partial 16S ribosomal RNA". It matches the Rfam family "Bacterial small subunit ribosomal RNA", at positions 524 to 776 of the family's 1533-position model. The record is from RNAcentral.
UACGGAGGAUGCGAGCGUUAUCCGGAUUCAUUGGGUUUAAAGGGUGCGUAGGCGGGCUUUUAAGUCAGCGGUAAAAAUUCGGGGCUCAACCCCGUCCGGCCGUUGAAACUGGGGGUCUUGAGUGGGCGAGAAGAAGGCGGAAUGCGUGGUGUAGCGGUGAAAUGCAUAGAUAUCACGCAGAACCCCGAUUGCGAAGGCAGCCUUCCGGCGCCCUACUGACGCUGAUGCACGAAAGCGUGGGUAUCAAACAGG